This 46-nucleotide non-coding RNA is filed under the name Trichobilharzia regenti. The record is from RNAcentral. Lineage: Eukaryota; Metazoa; Platyhelminthes; Trematoda; Strigeidida; Schistosomatidae.
GUACUGAUGAAGAGUCCCAAACUAGGACGAAACAGCCGUCUAGUAC